RNAcentral lists this ribosomal RNA (1202 nucleotides) under metagenome. RNAcentral describes it as "bacterial SSU rRNA". It matches the Rfam family "Bacterial small subunit ribosomal RNA", at positions 8 to 1201 of the family's 1533-position model. The record is from RNAcentral.
AGAGUUUGAUCAUGGCUCAGGAUGAACGCUAGCUACAGGCUUAACACAUGCAAGUCGAGGGGAAACGAUAUUGGAAGCUUGCUUCCGAUAGGCGUCGACCGGCGCACGGGUGAGUAACGCGUAUCCAACCUGCCCAUCACUUGGGGAUAACCUUGCGAAAGUAAGACUAAUACCCAAUGACGUCUCUAGAAGACAUCUGAAAGAGAUUAAAGAUUUAUCGGUGAUGGAUGGGGAUGCGUCUGAUUAGCUUGUUGGCGGGGUAACGGCCCACCAAGGCAACGAUCAGUAGGGGUUCUGAGAGGAAGGUCCCCCACAUUGGAACUGAGACACGGUCCAAACUCCUACGGGAGGCAGCAGUGAGGAAUAUUGGUCAAUGGGCGAGAGCCUGAACCAGCCAAGUAGCGUGCAGGAAGACGGCCCUAUGGAUUGUAAACUGCUUUUAUAAGGGAAUAAAGUGAGUCUCGUGAGACUUUUUGCAUGUACCUUAUGAAUAAGGACCGGCUAAUUCCGUGCCAGCAGCCGCGGUAAUACGGAAGGUCCGGGCGUUAUCCGGAUUUAUUGGGUUUAAAGGGAGCGUAGGCCGGAGAUUAAGCGUGUUGUGAAAUGUAGACGCUCAACGUCUGCACUGCAGCGCGAACUGGUUUCCUUGAGUACGCACAAAGUGGGCGGAAUUCGUGGUGUAGCGGUGAAAUGCUUAGAUAUCACGAAGAACUCCGAUUGCGAAGGCAGCUCACUGGAGCGCAACUGACGCUGAAGCUCGAAAGUGCGGGUAUCGAACAGGAUUAGAUACCCUGGUAGUCCGCACGGUAAACGAUGGAUGCCCGCUGUUGGUCUGAACAGGUCAGCGGCCAAGCGAAAGCAUUAAGCAUCCCACCUGGGGAGUACGCCGGCAACGGUGAAACUCAAAGGAAUUGACGGGGGCCCGCACAAGCGGAGGAACAUGUGGUUUAAUUCGAUGAUACGCGAGGAACCUUACCCGGGCUUGAAUUGCAGAGGAAGGAUUUGGAGACAAUGACGCCCUUCGGGGUCUCUGUGAAGGUGCUGCAUGGUUGUCGUCAGCUCGUGCCGUGAGGUGUCGGCUUAAGUGCCAUAACGAGCGCAACCCCUCUCCUUAGUUGCCAUCAGGUUAAGCUGGGCACUCUGGGGACACUGCCACCGUAAGGUGUGAGGAAGGUGGGGAUGACGUCAAAUCAGCACGGCCC